GGAAGGGGUGUAUUUAUUAGAUAAAAAACCAAUGCCCUUCGGGGCUCCUUGGUGAAUCAUAAUAACUUAACGAAUCGCAUGGCCUUGCGCCGGCGAUGGUUCAUUCAAAUUUCUGCCCUAUCAACUUUCGAUGGUAGGAUAGUGGCCUACCAUGGUAUCAACGGGUAACGGGGAAUUAGGGUUCGACUCCGGAGAGGGAGCCUGAGAAACGGCUACCACAUCCAAGGAAGGCAGCAGGCGCACAAAUUACCCAAUCCCGACACGGGGAGGUAGUGACAAUAAAUACUGAUACAGGGCUCUUUUGGGUCUUGUAAUUGGAAUGAGUACAAUUUAAAUCCCUUAACGAGGAACAAUUGGAGGGCAAGUCUGGUGCCAGCAGCCGCGGUAAUUCCAGCUCCAAUAGCGUAUAUUAAAGUUGUUGCAGUUAAAAAGCUCGUAGUUGAACCUUGGGCCUGGCUGGCCGGUCCGCCUCACCGCGUGUACUGGUCCGACCGGGCCUUUCCUUCUGGGGAACCUCAUGCCCUUCACUGGGCGUGUUGGGGAACCAGGACUUUUAC
Molecule: ribosomal RNA, 557 nt
Filed under: uncultured Dothideomycetes
Lineage: Eukaryota; Fungi; Ascomycota; Dothideomycetes
Description: SSU rRNA
Rfam family: Eukaryotic small subunit ribosomal RNA
Source: RNAcentral